Molecule: long non-coding RNA, 1814 nt
Organism: Chrysemys picta bellii (western painted turtle)
Lineage: Eukaryota; Metazoa; Chordata; Testudines; Emydidae
Source: Ensembl
ACCUGUUCUAUAUUUUUCCCACCCAUACCCAACAACCCAGCAAGUUUACACCCAGGCUCCUUCCCAGCAAUUAUUUCCCUCUCCCUCAGCUCUUCCAUUACCCCUGACUCCCCACAGCCUUUGAACUGCUUAUAGGGGGUGCAGGAAAUAUGGUUCUGUAUUGUAGUUUACAUGAAUUAUUAGUCAGAGUUCCAUAUAAAUAUGCUGGUAAGGAAUCUAUUUGUCAAAAAACAUUUUCUGAAUCUUUUUUGUUGUCUGUAUUGUUCCAGACAUACUUGCUGGCAGGUAUUUUGAAAUAAAUGACCAAAAAUAAUUGUGUUAUUUUGACAAAUAAAAUAUGCAGAAUUUUGCAGAAUUUGAAAAUAUUGUGCGCAGAAUUCCCCCAGGAGUAACGUUUUUAAUAUGUAAUAUGUAUUUAUUCAAUACACUUUUAUAGUACAAUAAUAGAUUAUGAAAUCAGUUAGUUCAACUGUUCAUUUUCAGGGUUUAAACCUUCGAUUCUCCCUUUGGGGUGUCUGGACCCUGAUUGGCAAACUACUUACUGGAAAAAGGACAGGGCAUAUGUCAAAGUGGGGCUGGAACACUCAUGACUUUUGGCCAGGAACUGAUGCGCUAAGGGGUUCACAUUAUGUAGCAACCAUAUGAAUCCAUGGCAACCACAGUGUCAUUCUGAAGUCUUAGACCUACUGUAGCCAUAGACUGGAAUAAUGUAAGAAAACAAAAGCAGAAGAAUUGUUUGUAUCAAUCUUCAGCAAUAUUUUAAAAAGUAGAUUUUUUUUGCCAUUAAAGAGAUUAUUUGCAUUUCAUAUAUAAACAAUGGAAAUGGUAACUUCACAAGGAUUGCCUAAAUGUUUUAAAUUAAAAUUUUCUAUCUGUAUAAAUUAACUUGAAGAAUUAAGUUUAAAGAUUAGCAGUCUGUAAAAAGCAUGCUGCAGCAAAUGAAAUAUUAAAUAUAUUUUCAAAUUAUCAGAUUUUCUUUUAAAAUACCACAAUAUGUAUAUGCAAGAGGGCAUGAUUUUUUCCUCAUCAGCAAAUAAGAGAGCUUUAUAAACCAGUGGCUUAAAAUUUUAAUGUAAGUGCUGGAAGUGGAAAAUACUUUCCAUAUAAACAGUAAAUAAUUAAAAAGGAUUUUCUCACAAAAAAAGUGGAAAAUCUGACUUUAAAUCAGUGUGAAAAUAUGAAUCAUGAUCUGCAUGAACCUGAGGGCAUUACUCUUUUGAGAAAAUAUUUACAUAAGCAUAUUUAUGAGCCUGUUUUGGGAUUUGUUAUGCAUUAGAUGGAGAGUAUACUAUGCAGCAAGUAGUAUAAGAAAAUUAAUACAUGUAAACAUGUUUUGCACUAUAAACUAUUCUAUAUAUUGGUGGGGUUGAGGUGAGUUUAUAGUUGCUUGGGGGAACUGACAUGGGGAAAUACCAUAUACCCACUAUACGAUUGACCACAUAUUCAUAAAUGCAGGUUACAUAAACUCAUCUGUCACAUAGCACGGUAAUUUCAAUAGCCUAUCCUCACAUUUCCACUGCACAUCUAACCACCAUUUGCAUUAUGCAGUCUUCUCUAUUCAAAAUGUAGUCAAUCUGUCUUUUCUCUUUUUUGGCCAUACAUUUUAAAAUGGAAAAUGCCAAAAAAAUAUAUUGUGUAACAUAAAAUUUUGUUUCAAAAUAACCCACAAUACCUGAAGACAUAGGGGAAUAAUCUACUUGCUAAAAUCAUUUUUUUAAAAGACCCUGAAAAUAUCGGUACAAAAAUUCAUGUAAUACAUUAUCUUAAUUUAUUUUUGAUUUAGAAUAAAUAAAAAGUACUUAUAUGCCCUACCA